RNAcentral lists this ribosomal RNA (35 nucleotides) under Quercus fusiformis. RNAcentral describes it as "partial 26S ribosomal RNA". RNAcentral also lists the same sequence under 4 other names. Lineage: Eukaryota; Viridiplantae; Streptophyta; Magnoliopsida; Fagales; Fagaceae. The record is from RNAcentral.
CGCGACCCCAGGUCAGGCGGGACUACCCGCUGAGU